RNAcentral lists this ribosomal RNA (399 nucleotides) under uncultured bacterium. Its description in RNAcentral is "bacterial SSU rRNA". It matches the Rfam family "Bacterial small subunit ribosomal RNA", at positions 355 to 751 of the family's 1533-position model. The record is from RNAcentral.
UAAGGAAUAUUGGUCAAUGGAGGCAACUCUGAACCAGCCAUGCCGCGUGCAGGAAGACGGCCCUAUGGGUUGUAAACUGCUUUUGUACCAGAGAAAACCCGAGUACGAGUACUCGGUUGAUAGUACGGUAAGAAUAAGCAUCGGCUAACUUCGUGCCAGCAGCCGCGGUAAGACGAAGGAUGCAAGCGUUAUCCGGAUUCAUUGGGUUUAAAGGGUGCGUAGGCGGACUGAUAAGUCAGUGGUGAAAUCUCUCAGCUUAACUGAGAAACUGCCAUUGAUACUGUCAGUCUAGAGUAUAGAUGACGUUGGCGGAAUAUGACAUGUAGUGGUGAAAUACUUAGAUAUGUCAUAGAACACCGAUUGCGAAGGCAGCUAACGAAACUAUAACUGACGCUGAGG